This 770-nucleotide long non-coding RNA is filed under the name Cyanistes caeruleus (blue tit). Its description in RNAcentral is "lncRNA (ENSCCEG00000008496.1)". The record is from RNAcentral. Lineage: Eukaryota; Metazoa; Chordata; Aves; Passeriformes; Paridae.
GGCCAGGACCAUGUGAGGCGUUCCUGGAAUGCUCCUGACUGGGAUGAUGGUGGGUCUGAAAGCAGCACAAGCACUUCAGAGGGGAAACUUCCCAAGCAAGUGUAUGUUGCUCUCCAGGAAAAAAAUGUAUUCAGCUGACUUGAAGCUAAUCAGCAGUGUUUUGAAGGACUUCCCCAGCCUAAGGUUUUGCUGUCUGGCAGAAACCAGUCCAUCCCUCAGCCUCUGCCAGUGCCAUCUCUGUGGGAUCUCCACGGUGGCACUGCUUUUUCCUGUGAUGUUCACAGGAACAGGAGGAAACACAACACAGAAACCAGCGCAUGAUAAGUCAAGAGCAAGAAAAUCAGUCGUGCUAUCCUGAUGAGGAAAAGAUGGAAGAUCUCACUAGGAACAAAAAUAUCAAAUGCAUAAACACCAAAGCCUGCUGAGAGUCAGCCCUCUGCUUAUACCCUGACCUUACUAAAGUAAAGACAGUGAAAAUUUCUCCAUUGAUUAAAAUGUCAGUAUAAACCCUUUCCAUCCUGAAGUGACCCAUUUGCAUUGCAAUAGCAGAGAUAAAUCUGAAACAGUGAAGUUGUGUAUUGAUGAAAGUCAGGGAAGCUAUGUUCUAGCUGUCAGCUGAUGACUGCGGGGUGCACGUGGCAGCAGGACAUAUCUGGUCCAUUUUGGGUGACAUACACUUUACUGAGCAAGAUCUGAACAGCUCACAACUGAGAAGCUAAACCAGUUCAAGAUGUUGAUUUAUGCCCACAAUAAAACAAAGGUAACCAACA